RNAcentral lists this long non-coding RNA (579 nucleotides) under Phaseolus vulgaris (common bean). Its description in RNAcentral is "long non-coding RNA (PVUL_LNC000532)". The record is from RNAcentral. Lineage: Eukaryota; Viridiplantae; Streptophyta; Magnoliopsida; Fabales; Fabaceae.
ACUUGAGGUUAAAUAUAUGAACACUGAGUUUUUCAGAAGCAAUAUGAACACUGAAUUUAAGGUUUGACUUGAAUAUGAAAACUGAGUUUUUAGGCAACGUGUUAAUGUUUUUUAAGGGUAAUCAACAAUAUGGAACUGAAGUGAUUCUCUGAACUGAUUAGAAAAAACACCCAAGUCAGAAAAUCAAACGAAGUCUUGUCUUUUGUUAUGCUACUUGUUUAUUUAACCAUGAUGUUUUUUGGUUACUGGUGCUGUCAACAUAACUCAUGCAAGUGACUAAACCUUUAUAUAUAAAAUUUUAGAAAACUGUCACUAUUUUUUUUUGUGAUACAAAGAAAUAGAGGUUUCUGUGUUUAGAAUUUGUUGGUAAUGUGUUGAUUUCUUGUGUAGGAAUAUUACUACAAGAGGCAUCAUGUGCCAGCAUUUGGGAGCUGGGAUUGGAAUGAUAAUCUUCCCUUCACUCAGUGCUUUGAGUCUGCAAGACAAGCUGGUUUGUUAAGAUAUAGUUAUUCUGAGUCUGAAGAUAGAGACCUUUAUGUCACUGGGGACUUGUAUGAGAAUGAUGUUGUCACACCUGCU